GACGUGAACCCAGGAGGCGGAGCUUGCAGUGAGCCGAGAUUGCGCCCCUGCAUUCCAGCCUGGGCAACAGAGCAAGACUCCGUCUCAAAAAAAAAAAAAAAGAAAAAAAAAUAUGCAUAUAACACUUCUAUUUGUCAAUUAAACAUAAAAAAUAAAAAUAAAUUGAGGUAAAGUACAUAAAUUAUUAUAUUAAUAAGAAUUCAUGCUCUCUUUCCCUUGAGAGCACUACUGAAGAUCCUGGUGUCGCCAUGGGCCGCCGCCCCGCGGGUUGUUACCGGUAUUGUAAGAACAAGCCGUACCCAAAGUCUCGCUUCUGCCUCUGAAGCCCUGGAGGCUAACAACACAAAAAAUCUCAGCCAC
RNAcentral lists this long non-coding RNA (360 nucleotides) under Homo sapiens (human). RNAcentral describes it as "HSALNT0403571". The record is from RNAcentral. Lineage: Eukaryota; Metazoa; Chordata; Mammalia; Primates; Hominidae.